Sardina pilchardus (European sardine) is the source of this 1024-nucleotide long non-coding RNA. RefSeq lists it as uncharacterized. The transcript is spliced from 3 exons. The record is from RefSeq and is a predicted model, not a curated record. Lineage: Eukaryota; Metazoa; Chordata; Actinopteri; Clupeiformes; Clupeidae.
UUCUAACUACCCGGAGAGAUGCCACUUCUGGAGGAGCAGCGAAAACAUCAUACAUCGUUCGUCUUAACCUUGUCUAAAAGGAAAACGGUUGGAACAACUCUGAUGUAGGUAGAGAAGAGUCAGUGGCUGGUGAAGUAAGAGGAUACAGCUGUCUGCUGAUUCAAGGUCCCUGCCCCGUCGCCUCAACAUCUUCAAGAUCCUGUAGGCUACUGCUGCUGCUCCUUGCUUCAGCACCUUUCCCCUGAUGCCUGACACCCCUCAUCACCAAAUCAGCCCAGUCAACAUGGACCCAAGUCUCCACCACAGUGUGCACAAUACACACAGACAGGGACGAGAACAAAGGUACAAUUGGUCUGAGGGGAGGACACCGCAGACAGCUGAUCAACUCCAUGUCAUCUAAUCAGGCCAUGUAAAGGACCAUGAAGGGAUGGACUUGGUGGAGGACAACAAUGUGACACCCGAAAAGAGUACAUGGAGAUCUCUCAUCCUCAUCCCUCAUGCUUAUAUUGCAUUUCAUAUAGGCCUAGAUUCUGAUGGUCUUGUAAAUGUUUGUUACACAAGUCAGAAAUUGUUGUCUUUGAUUAUUUAAUUUGAUUAUAAUAAAUGGAAAUAUAUUUUAUUGAAAAAUAUUUUUGAAAACCUAGCAAGUUUGUGUGUUUUAGUAUCAGAAUGAGCUUGUAUUGACCAAGUAUAUCUACAAGGAAUUUGACUGGCAUUAGCUGUUGGAACAAUUAGACAUACAGUAGUAUGCAGUCAGAAGAUGCAUACUAUAGAGCACCACAAUAUACAUAAGGCACCUACCAAUAGAUUGAGUGAUGGCAGUGGGAAAAAUGUGAUUAUUGUCUGGCAGGUUUUGUGCAUAAGGGUAAGUUAUUAUUUAACGGAAAAGUUUGAGGUCAAACUAAUGGUGACCUCCAUGUAGCUUUUGUAAUAAUAAUAACUUUAUAUAAUAAUAGCCUAACUUUAUGAUAAUAAUAUAUUUUUUAAAUAACAUGUGUUCAAUUAAAACUAUUUUCUUUUACUG